CUGUACAUGUAUAUAUACCGGCCUAUGGCCUCAUGGGAAUACAAGUUGCUUAUUCCUAACACUAGCAUGCUUCUACUCUGGUGAGGCCAAUUAGCGAACCAUGGCCUAAUCCAUGGCAAGUUGGUAACCUCUCCUAAUUAGCCACCAUCUUAAUCGUAUCCAUGGCGGCACCACUUGCAACACCGCGGCCAACUAGUUGCAAUGCAACCAUCUGUGCCGUGCUGGCGUGUUAAUCCUACAACUGUUAAUCCAUGGUGGCACACCAUUUGCAACACCACAAUGGUGGCGUGUUAAUGUAAAGUGAGUAUAAUACUAGCAUGAACUUUGCUUCGGUACAACC
Molecule: long non-coding RNA, 340 nt
Filed under: Hordeum vulgare
Lineage: Eukaryota; Viridiplantae; Streptophyta; Magnoliopsida; Poales; Poaceae
Description: long non-coding RNA (HVUL_LNC018628)
Source: RNAcentral